RNAcentral lists this long non-coding RNA (3226 nucleotides) under Equus caballus (horse). Its description in RNAcentral is "lncRNA (ENSECAG00000043213.2)". Lineage: Eukaryota; Metazoa; Chordata; Mammalia; Perissodactyla; Equidae. The record is from RNAcentral.
AUGAAUUUGGGAGCAAGGGGACACAAUUCAGUCCAGAACACUUCCUUAGACUUGUUAGAUAAGCUCAGUCCAAAAGAAAUACAACGCAAUUUAAAUUUUUCUAGUAGCCACAUUUUUUUAAAAAGUAAAAAGAAACAAGUGAAAUUAAUUGUAACACUAUCUGACGCUAUGCUGUCCAACACAGUAGCCACUAGUCACACGUUAGAUAAUUCUCCAAGCUGAAGAGAGAGGUCAAAUAAGAGAGUGACAGUGGAUCCAAGAUACAGCUGGGGUGCCAGGGUGGGGGGUCGGCAAGGAGUCACAAUGACUCAUAGAAUGUCCAGGGAGUUUUGAGGAUCUGAGAGCACGGGGACCUGUGCUCACGUCUGAGGUGGGGCCAGGGUGAAUAGGGGAGGGUAGAAGUGGCAACUAGAUGCGUCUAGGACAGCGCCCCACGUCUGCCACAUCCCCCCAAGUCUCCAGAGUGGCACAGGGGAACAUCCAACAGUUCCCCAGUCCCUAAGAGGGGUGAGGACGUGGCUCAGGGAGAAUCGUCACCGUCAGGAUAGGCCGCUGCAAGUGCAGGACUGAUGAUCCGAGUCGAUGGGAAUGUGGACACAGCAGUGAACGCCAGCCUGGAGGGGCGCUGAUGGCCAAAGACCUGAUGCUUCACGUCAUGUCUCCUAAACUUCAGUGCCACUCUGGGGAGAUGAGAGGGAAAGGGGAAGUUCUGAAUUCAUAGUUUACCUGAAACGAUGAAAAGACCCAGAGAUGAGGAAACUGAGGCCAAGAGAGUUUGGGCAACCUGUCGAAAAUCACACAGUGCUAGAAUUAUGAAUAAAACUCAAGUCUCUUAACUAUCAAUCCAAUGUCCUUUUAGUGCCUUUAUAUAAAACUUAAACGGCAGUACAACAUACUGCUGCUUUAAAAAAAGAAAAUUCCACUGCCAGCCCAGUGGCAUAGUGAUUAGGUUCCCACACUCCACUUCAGCGGCCUGGGUUUCAUGGGUUCAGAUCCCUGGCGCAGACCUGGCAGCAUUCAUCAGGCCACGCUGUGGCGGCAUCCCACAUAAAGUAGAGGAAGAUUGCCUCAGAUGUAGGCUCAGUGACAAUCUUCCUCAAGCAAAAAGAGGAAGAUGGGCAACAGAUGUUAGCUCAGGGCCAAUCUUGCUCACACACACACAAAAAAGUUCCUGAUCAGAGAUUUUAAAAUUCCCCGUGGCAGGAAUCAUACUUUACACAUCUUUGUGUUCACACAGAGCCUAGCAGAGCCCUCUGGAACAGUGAGUGCUCAAUACAAAUAUUUCAAAUGAAUUAAUGGAUUUUUCUUAAUGCUACAGUGUGUGUGACUUUUUGGGGGGGGUAUAGCUCAAUAAAAUUGGAUUUUGCUGUGUACAAUGGUUAGAAACUACAUUGAAUUUAUGAUGGCAUAAGUGAAUGAAUGGAACAGUUAUCUGGAAUUUUAAAAAAUUAUAUAAAGGAAGACUGACUGCCAGCAUGGAUGAUAUACGCUAAAAGUCCCUUUUUCUAAAGAGUGAAGAUUAUGCUUUCAUAAUUAAAUGAAACAAUUGCCUGAAAUUUUCACAUUUCUUUCCCUAUCUACAUUGAAUCUUGGACUGUGUGUCUGUGAGGUCACACAUCUUGAUCAAAACUAGAAAAUAAGGUAACCAUCAAGAUGUUGAUGUAGUCACAGCAUAAAUGAAAGAAUAAGCACACAACUGUCAUCAGAGAAGUUACACCGCUGACGUGCAUCAAAAUAUUAUAUGUACAUAGUAAAGCCAUUCCAACUGUUGCAAUAUUGCACAGACACUAAAAUUCAUGACCUUGAAGAUGAUGUGGCAACGUGGGGAAAAAGGUUUGUGAUCUAAUAUUUCACUAGGAAAUCAGUAUUCAUUAUCACAUAAUUUUAUAGAGAAGAAUUCUGUACAGAAAAGAGGCAAAAAUGAAAUAUACCAAAAUAAUAACAGUAGCUGUGUUAGAGUGGUGGCAAUAUGAGUACUUCUUUCUUAUCUCCAGUUAUAUUACUUCUGUAACAGAAAAAAAUUUACAAGCACAAAGAAAAUAAGUUCUAUAAAAGUAUAGUGAACAUCUGUUAUUCAUGGCAGCCCCAAAUCUUCUGAAAAACCAGCCCAUAUUUUGAUAGUUCCCCACAUUAUGAAUUCUGUCUUCGUAACGUGAAUUCUAAAACUUCACAUUUCCUAAUAUCCCCAGCCUCUGAACCUCCAGUGUAAGGUCAGUUUCUGGCUCCCAGGUGCACCCAUCAGAACUACCUGAGGGGCAGACAGGCUCCAGAUAACCGAGCUGCUGGCACAAGUGGCUUCAAUGCCAUGGUUCUGGGGCCAGCAGUGGGAGCAGGAGCUUCCCCAUGGCAGCAAAGACAGUUUGAUUCUGGGACUGGUGGUGACUCUGCCUAGAACCUGCUCCUCCAGGCUUUCCAACAAUUACCUGGACUUUCUAAUCUCCCUUAAUAAAUUCCAUCUCAUUUAAAUGACUUCGAGUUGAUUCUUUUGUCCACACGUAAGAAGGCUAACAGAUAGAAAGGGUAACAAAACUGGAAUCCAUCUAAGAAAAGGUAAAUGAGGGGUGACAUCAUUAAAGAGAAGAUCAUUCUGAACUUCAAAAACACGUUGUGAUCAAGUAAAAGACCUUUCAUCCGGUAAAUGUCAGAGUCAUGAAGGUGAUUUCCAGGCAAAGCCUUUAAUAGCUGCUGCGUGACCUGCAGCUCUCUGCACUGCAGCAACCAGGGGUGGCCUUGUGUUCCGGACGACGCAGCUUCACGGUGAUGCAUCCUCUAUCCUCCCAGUCACUUGAGACACUUUGUGGAAGAGAGCCCCUACAGAUGCAAAUAGGACAUGUAAUAUGAGCAAGAAAUAAACCUCUGUCACUUUAGGGCCCCUGGGAUUUAGGAGUGCGUUUGUCACCACAGCGCAGCCUGACCUCAGCUAAGACACAAUGGCAUCUAGAAUGGGAUGUGUUUAAUGACCAAAACAAAUAAAUAUGUAAGUUUAAAAGCCUUGUAUGAUUAGAGAACAAUUUAUCGAAUAAAAGUAAAUCAAAUAAAGAAUGGACUAAGGAUUCGUUAUUUUGCAUCAAGUAAAGAUAUCUGAGUUUACCUGAAAGCAACAUCAAUUAGGGUUUAUUAAAAAUCCUAAAUAUUUAAUGAUCUUAAAAACAAUGAAUAGGUUAUGCUUUUCAAUUCUCACAUCAAAAAAAUUAGAAUUUGUGAUGCAUAUUAAUCUUAAAAUAAU